RNAcentral lists this transfer RNA (66 nucleotides) under Naupactus xanthographus (South American fruit tree weevil). Its description in RNAcentral is "tRNA-Asp". It matches the Rfam family "tRNA". From Rfam's summary of the family: Transfer RNA (tRNA) molecules are approximately 80 nucleotides in length. Their secondary structure includes four short double-helical elements and three loops (D, anti-codon, and T loops). Further hydrogen bonds mediate the characteristic L-shaped molecular structure. tRNAs have two regions of fundamental functional importance: the anti-codon, which is responsible for specific mRNA codon recognition, and the 3' end, to which the tRNAs corresponding amino acid is attached (by aminoacyl-tRNA synthetases). tRNAs cope with the degeneracy of the genetic code in two manners: having more than one tRNA (with a specific anti-codon) for a particular amino acid; and 'wobble' base-pairing, i.e. permitting non-standard base-pairing at the 3rd anti-codon position. Lineage: Eukaryota; Metazoa; Arthropoda; Insecta; Coleoptera; Curculionidae. The record is from RNAcentral.
AAAAAUUUAGUUAAAUUCUAUAACGUUAGUUUGUCAAACUAAAAUUAUUAACUAUAAUAAUUUUUA